AUAGUCGUGGCCGAGUGGUUAAGGCGAUGGAUUAGAAACCCAUUGGAGUUACUCCGCGCAGGUUCGAAUCCUGCUGACUGCG
Molecule: non-coding RNA, 82 nt
Organism: Carcharodon carcharias (great white shark)
Lineage: Eukaryota; Metazoa; Chordata; Chondrichthyes; Lamniformes; Lamnidae
Source: the annotation of a RefSeq genome assembly